This is a non-coding RNA of Vibrio anguillarum 775, 1470 nucleotides long. The record is from Rfam. NCBI's taxonomy places the organism in Bacteria, Pseudomonadati, Pseudomonadota, Gammaproteobacteria, Vibrionales, Vibrionaceae.
UAAUUGAAGAGUUUGAUCAUGGCUCAGAUUGAACGCUGGCGGCAGGCCUAACACAUGCAAGUCGAGCGGCAGCACAGAGGAACUUGUUCCUUGGGUGGCGAGCGGCGGACGGGUGAGUAAUGCCUAGGAAAUUGCCCUGAUGUGGGGGAUAACCAUUGGAAACGAUGGCUAAUACCGCAUGAUGCCUACGGGCCAAAGAGGGGGACCUUCGGGCCUCUCGCGUCAGGAUAUGCCUAGGUGGGAUUAGCUAGUUGGUGAGGUAAUGGCUCACCAAGGCGACGAUCCCUAGCUGGUCUGAGAGGAUGAUCAGCCACACUGGAACUGAGACACGGUCCAGACUCCUACGGGAGGCAGCAGUGGGGAAUAUUGCACAAUGGGCGCAAGCCUGAUGCAGCCAUGCCGCGUGUAUGAAGAAGGCCUUCGGGUUGUAAAGUACUUUCAGUCGUGAGGAAGGUGGUGUUGUUAAUAGCAGCAUCAUUUGACGUUAGCGACAGAAGAAGCACCGGCUAACUCCGUGCCAGCAGCCGCGGUAAUACGGAGGGUGCGAGCGUUAAUCGGAAUUACUGGGCGUAAAGCGCAUGCAGGUGGUGGAUUAAGUCAGAUGUGAAAGCCCGGGGCUCAACCUCGGAACCGCAUUUGAAACUGGUUCACUAGAGUACUGUAGAGGGGGGUAGAAUUUCAGGUGUAGCGGUGAAAUGCGUAGAGAUCUGAAGGAAUACCGGUGGCGAAGGCGGCCCCCUGGACAGAUACUGACACUCAGAUGCGAAAGCGUGGGGAGCAAACAGGAUUAGAUACCCUGGUAGUCCACGCCGUAAACGAUGUCUACUUGGAGGUUGGGGCCUUGAGCCGAGGCUUUCGGAGCUAACGCGUUAAGUAGACCGCCUGGGGAGUACGGGCGCAAGAUUAAAACUCAAAUGAAUUGACGGGGGCCCGCACAAGCGGUGGAACAUGUGGUUUUAAUUCGAUGCAACGCGAAAAACCCUUACCUACUCUUGGACUUCCAAAAAAACCAGGCGGAAGACCCAGGUGUGGCCUUUCGGGAAGCUCUUAAAACAGGGGCUGGCUGGGCUUGCCGCUCACCUCCGGGUUGUGAAAGGGUUGGGUUAAAGUCCCCCCAACCAAGCGCAAACCCCUUAUCCCUUGGUUUUGCCCACGAAUCUUUGUCCGGGAAACUCCCGGGAUAAACUGCCCGGGGGAUAAAACCCGGGAGAGAAAGGGUGGGGGAAAAAACCCCUCAAAGACCAUCUCUGGGCCCCCCUUUCAAAAAUUAAGGGCUUCACAACAACGGGGGCCAAACAUGGGGGGCCCAUAAACAGAGAGGGGGAUCAACAAAGCUUACCACACAUAUGAGGUCAGCAAUAAUCCCCCCCAAAAAAAGUGGUGCCUAUUCUAAAAAAUCCCCGGAAAAUAUUUGGGAAAAAUCGUGGUAAUACACAUUCCACCACUCCCCCCCCUUAAUAAAAAUAAUUA